RNAcentral lists this ribosomal RNA (535 nucleotides) under Penicillium camemberti. Its description in RNAcentral is "SSU rRNA". It matches the Rfam family "Eukaryotic small subunit ribosomal RNA", at positions 42 to 579 of the family's 1831-position model. Lineage: Eukaryota; Fungi; Ascomycota; Eurotiomycetes; Eurotiales; Aspergillaceae. The record is from RNAcentral.
GAUUAAGCCAUGCAUCUCUAAGUAUAAGCAACUUGUACUGUGAAACUGCGAAUGGCUCAUUAAAUCAGUUAUCGUUUAUUUGAUAGUACCUUACUACAUGGAUACCUGUGGUAAUUCUAGAGCUAAUACAUGCUAAAAACCCCGACUUCAGGAAGGGGUGUAUUUAUUAGAUAAAAAACCAACGCCCUUCGGGGCUCCUUGGUGAAUCAUAAUAACUUAACGAAUCGCAUGGCCUUGCGCCGGCGAUGGUUCAUUCAAAUUUCUGCCCUAUCAACUUUCGAUGGUAGGAUACUGGCCUACCAUGGUGGCAACGGGUAACGGGGAAUUAGGGUUCGAUUCCGGAGAGGGAGCCUGAGAAACGGCUACCACAUCCAAGGAAGGCAGCAGGCGCGCAAAUUACCCAAUCCCGAUACGGGGAGGUAGUGACAAUAAAUACUGAUACGGGGCUCUUUUGGGUCUCGUAAUUGGAAUGAGAACAAUUUAAAUCCCUUAACGAGGAACAAUUGGAGGGCAAGUCUGGUGCCAGCAGCCGCGG